AGAAGUAGGUAGCUUAACCGCAAGGAGGGCGCUUACCACGGUAGGAUUCGUGACUGGGGUGAAGUCGUAACAAGGUAGCCGUAUCGGAAGGUGCGGCUGGAUCACCUCCUUUCUAGA
This 117-nucleotide ribosomal RNA is filed under the name Pseudomonas syringae pv. pisi. Its description in RNAcentral is "partial 16S ribosomal RNA". It matches the Rfam family "Bacterial small subunit ribosomal RNA", at positions 1422 to 1533 of the family's 1533-position model. Lineage: Bacteria; Pseudomonadati; Pseudomonadota; Gammaproteobacteria; Pseudomonadales; Pseudomonadaceae. The record is from RNAcentral. RNAcentral also lists the same sequence under 1 other name.